Molecule: transfer RNA, 73 nt
Filed under: Oceanospirillum multiglobuliferum
Lineage: Bacteria; Pseudomonadati; Pseudomonadota; Gammaproteobacteria; Oceanospirillales; Oceanospirillaceae
Rfam family: tRNA
About the family: Transfer RNA (tRNA) molecules are approximately 80 nucleotides in length.
Source: Rfam by way of RNAcentral
GGGUCGUUAGCUCAGUUGGUAGAGCAGUUGGCUUUUAACCAAUUGGCCAUAGGUUCGAAUCCUAUACGACCCA